AUUAGGGUCCAUUGAAGAACCUAGUUUCAACAAGAUAAUUAAAGAAGGCUUCUCUGAGAAGGUGAACUUAAAAUAACCUGCAGUUUGAGAAGAUGCUUGACAUUGGAGGAGAAGAGUGGCAAAGAAGUAGUGGCAAGGGAGAGCCUCCCUGACCAAGGAGCAGUGAGUGCAAAGUUCCUAGGAGGCAAGUACUUCCCAUAUUCAGGGAGUUGAAGCAAACCGUGUGGCAAAAACUUAAAAAGAGUUUUCUCUACUCUUAAAAAGUAGAGAAUGGAAUGAAAUAUAGAAAAAUAGAGACUAGAAUGAGAUAAAGUUGGAAGAGUAAGCAGGCAGGCAUCAAAUCAUUCAAAACCUUGUAGGCCAAGUUAAAGAAUUUGUAUUGUAGAAUAAAUGCAAAGGAAGCUAUAAAUAGCGUUUAAACAAUAGUGACAUGAUACAAUUUACAUUUUAAAAAGGCCACCCUGUGCAUCAAUCUGAUAUUGUGUCUCUUGAUGGGAUGUGGUAUGAAGUAUACAAUAUCAUCUAUGAGAUGUUCCAGGCAAGAAUGUUUAACUUGAAUCUAUCAAACCUUUUCAUUUAACACACAACAUAUAAGAAAUCCAGAGGAUAGAGGAACAACUAAAUGAUACCAUAGGAAGUAACCAAACAUCCAGAAGGUGGAACAUUCUGCAGGAUAACUGACCCCCUCUGGUCAACAAUUUAUUGUUAUGAAAAAAGCCACUGCUCUGUGAAAAGACAUUUAAAGGACUUAAGAGCCUGCACUGAAUCCUGGUUUGAACAGACCACCUAUAAAAUGCAUUUUCAGGAGAACUGAAGAAAUUUGAAUAUAGAUGGACUGAGUAUAAGAUG
Molecule: non-coding RNA, 849 nt
Organism: Ceratotherium simum simum (southern white rhinoceros)
Lineage: Eukaryota; Metazoa; Chordata; Mammalia; Perissodactyla; Rhinocerotidae
Source: RefSeq, a predicted model, not a curated record